This 253-nucleotide ribosomal RNA is filed under the name uncultured bacterium. RNAcentral describes it as "partial 16S ribosomal RNA". It matches the Rfam family "Bacterial small subunit ribosomal RNA", at positions 524 to 776 of the family's 1533-position model. The record is from RNAcentral.
UACAGGGGGUGCAAACGUUGCUCGGAAUCAUUGGGCGUAAAGCGCACGUAGGCGGUUUGUUAUGUCGGAUGUGAAAGCCCUUGGCUCAACUGAGGAAGUGCAUCCGAAACUGGCAAGCUAGAGUACUAAAGAGGGUCGCGGAAUUCCCGGUGUAGAGGUGAAAUUCGUAGAUAUCGGGAGGAACACCGGUGGCGCAGGCGGCGACCUGGGUAGAUACUGACGCUGAGGUGCGAAAGCGUGGGGAGCAAACAGG